GGGAGGGUUACCCUCUAGUUCUAUAUACUGUAAAUCCCUCUACUUCCCCUGGAGAUUUCCAGUGCUGCUUGGUGAAGAACUUGCUCUUCCCCUGUCCUUCUAGCUGGUCUUCUGGGAGAGGGGCUGCUGUGCUGAUUCUCAGGUGUGUGCACCUGGGGGAGCUGCCCCACACCCUGCCAGGUGCACGGCUCAGUGAGAGCUGGUUACCCUGUGAGGCCUCCGUUCCCUGGCGGCCCCGCCCCUCCCAGGCACAAGGUGAAACAAGAAGGAACACUGGUGGUGGCCAGGUCUCCAGCUCUGGAGUCAGCUCCCGCAGGAACUACCACAGCUCCCAGUCUGCACUGGCCUGGAUGCUCUGGGGCGUGUGUGUGUGCUGAUCUGCACAGCUCGGGGCCACCUGGUGGCAGGAGCGUCCUGGCUGUCCUGUACCCUCCCGCCUCCGCCUGUCCCGGGGGGAGGGCAGGAUCCUGGGCUGUGUCCCCCGUGCCCUGGGAUCCUGGGCCUGCGCUGCUGGAAUUGCGCUCCCACGGCCACAGCUCUAGAAAGCAGCAGGGCGCAGCCCCUUCCCCCCCCCCUGACCCCCGGCUUCUCCCCGAGGCCCUGCCGGGCGCUCUCCCCCGGGCACCCUCCCCCGGGCACCUCUUGUGUUAGUGACCCCAGGAUACUGGAGGCUCCACUGCCCCUUCUGCGAGCCUGCCCAAGUUCCCCGCUGAGCGCUUUUCUGUCUGGGAAGAAUCCGGUGCAAAUUUUUAAAGUUCCUGCUUCUGCCGGGCUGGGCUUUCCUAUCUGGAGACUUUCAUCUCGGGCUCCUCAUGGGGCCCCUCCCCAACUUGAUUUUUUUAUUUUUUUCCCACCUUCCUACCUUGUUAAAAGCAAAAACCCUUCUCUCUGUAGCGUUCCAGCUGUUCUCUCUUUAAAUCUCAGGUCAAAUUCGUAGGUGUUCUGGAUAUUCAGUUAAGUUGGUGGAGACAGGUGACUUGGGGACCCUACUCCUCCCCAUCUUGCCCUGCG
This 1011-nucleotide long non-coding RNA is filed under the name Vulpes vulpes (red fox). Its description in RNAcentral is "lncRNA (ENSVVUG00000026592.1)". Lineage: Eukaryota; Metazoa; Chordata; Mammalia; Carnivora; Canidae. The record is from RNAcentral.